RNAcentral lists this ribosomal RNA (453 nucleotides) under uncultured Alloprevotella sp. RNAcentral describes it as "bacterial SSU rRNA". It matches the Rfam family "Bacterial small subunit ribosomal RNA", at positions 341 to 792 of the family's 1533-position model. Lineage: Bacteria; Pseudomonadati; Bacteroidota; Bacteroidia; Bacteroidales; Prevotellaceae. The record is from RNAcentral.
ACGGGAGGCAGCAGUGAGGAAUAUUGGUCAAUGGACGAGAGUCUGAACCAGCCAAGUAGCGUGCAGGAUGACGGCCCUCCGGGUUGUAAACUGCUUUUAGUUGGGAAUAAAAGGAGCGACGUGUCGCUUAUUGCAUGUACCAUCAGAAAAAGGACCGGCUAAUUCCGUGCCAGCAGCCGCGGUAAUACGGAAGGUCCGGGCGUUAUCCGGAUUUAUUGGGUUUAAAGGGAGCGUAGGCGGGCUUUUAAGUCAGUGGUAAAAGCGUGUGGCUCAACCAUACCACGCCAUUGAAACUGGAAGUCUUGAGUGCACACAGGGAUGCUGGAAUUCGUCGUGUAGCGGUGAAAUGCUUAGAUAUGACGAAGAACUCCGAUCGCGAAGGCAGGUGUCCGGGGUGUAACUGACGCUGAGGCUCGAAAGUGCGGGUAUCAAACAGGAUUAGAUACCCUGGUA